CUGCUCGGCCCCGCGAUGCCGGUGGACCUCAGCAAGUGGUUCGGGCCCUUGAGCCUGCAGGAAGCGAACGAGCAGCCGCAGCGCCCGCUGCAUGUCACCUGCGGGGGGCGGCGGUGGACGAGCUGGGCGAAGUGCUGAUGCCCACCCAGGUCAAGAACAGACCCACCAGGAUUUCGUGGGAGGGUCUUGAUUCAGGGAAGCUCUACACCUUGGUCCUGACAGACCCGAUGCUCCCAGCAGGAAGGAUCCCAAGUACGGAGAAUGGCAUCAUUUCCUGGUGGUCAACAUGAAGGGCAAUGACAUCAGCAGUGGCACAGACCUCUCCGAUUACCUGGGCUCGGGGCCUCCCAAGGGCACAGGCCUCCACCGCUGUGUCUGGCUGGUUUACGAGCAGGACAGGCCGCUGAAGUGUGACGGGCCCAUUCUCAGCAACCGAUCUGGAGACCACCGAGGCAAAUUCAAGGUGACGUCCUUCCCUAAAAAGUAGGAGCUGGGGGCCCCUGUGGCCGGCACAUGUUACCAGGCCGAGAGGAUUGACUACAUGCCCAAACUGUACAAGCAGCUGUCUGGGAAGUAGAGGGUUAGCUUGGGGACCAGAACAGUCUGUCCUGGAGGCCCCAAGCCAUGUUCCCCAGUUCAGUGUUGCAUGUGUAAUAGAUUUCUCCUCUCCCUUCCCCGCUUUGCACAGGCAAGACCUGAGCAGUCAGAUGGUGGUUUAGGGUGACUUUUCCUGCUGCCUGGCCUUUAUAAUUUUAGUCACUCACUCACUCUGAUUUAUGUUUUGGUCAAAUUUGAAUUCCAUUUUGGGGGAUAUUUUGGUACUGUGAUGGGGUUAUCAAAUUGUUAAUAUGAAAACAGCAACCCAGAAUGUAAAGAA
RNA transcript from Cebus imitator (Panamanian white-faced capuchin), 877 nucleotides. It is a transcript of the gene named phosphatidylethanolamine-binding protein 1-like, with no coding region annotated. The transcript has a single exon. NCBI's taxonomy places the organism in Eukaryota, Metazoa, Chordata, Mammalia, Primates, Cebidae. The record is from RefSeq and is a predicted model, not a curated record.